This 552-nucleotide ribosomal RNA is filed under the name Salmonella enterica subsp. enterica. Its description in RNAcentral is "bacterial SSU rRNA". It matches the Rfam family "Bacterial small subunit ribosomal RNA", at positions 1 to 547 of the family's 1533-position model. Lineage: Bacteria; Pseudomonadati; Pseudomonadota; Gammaproteobacteria; Enterobacterales; Enterobacteriaceae. The record is from RNAcentral.
GAAGAGUUUGAUCAUGGCUCAGAUUGAACGCUGGCGGCAGGCCUAACACAUGCAAGUCGAACGGUAACAGGAAGCAGCUUGCUGCUUUGCUGACGAGUGGCGGACGGGUGAGUAAUGUCUGGGAAACUGCCUGAUGGAGGGGGAUAACUACUGGAAACGGUGGCUAAUACCGCAUAACGUCGCAAGACCAAAGAGGGGGACCUUCGGGCCUCUUGCCAUCAGAUGUGCCCAGAUGGGAUUAGCUUGUUGGUGAGGUAACGGCUCACCAAGGCGACGAUCCCUAGCUGGUCUGAGAGGAUGACCAGCCACACUGGAACUGAGACACGGUCCAGACUCCUACGGGAGGCAGCAGUGGGGAAUAUUGCACAAUGGGCGCAAGCCUGAUGCAGCCAUGCCGCGUGUAUGAAGAAGGCCUUCGGGUUGUAAAGUACUUUCAGCGGGGAGGAAGGUGUUGUGGUUAAUAACCGCAGCAAUUGACGUUACCCGCAGAAGAAGCACCGGCUAACUCCGUGCCAGCAGCCGCGGUAAUACGGAGGGUGCAAGCGUUAAUCG